CCUACGGGAGGCAGCAGUGAGGAAUUUUCCGCAAUGGGCGAAAGCCUGACGGAGCAAUACCGCGUGAGGGAUGAAGGAUUUUGGUCUGUAAACCUCUUUUCUCAAGAAAGAAGUUCUGACGGUACUUGAGGAAUAAGCAUCGGCUAACUCCGUGCCAGCAGCCGCGGUAAUACGGGGGAUGCAAGCGUUAUCCGGAAUGAUUGGGCGUAAAGCGCCUGUAGGUUGUUUAUUAAGUCCGUUGUUAAAGCCUAGGGCUUAACCCUAGAAAAGCAAUGGAAACUAGUAGACUAGAGUAUGGCAGGGGUAGAGGGAAUUUCUAGUGUAGCGGUGAAAUGCGUAGAUAUUAGAAAGAACACCGGUGGCGAAAGCGCUCUACUGGACCAUUACUGACACUCAGAGGCGAAAGCUAGGGUAGCAAAAGGGAUUAGAUACCCCUGUAGUCCUAGCCGUAAACGAUGGAUACUAGAUGUUGUGCAUUAUGUACAGUAUCGUAGCUAACGCGUUAAGUAUCCCGCCUGGGGAGUACGCUCGCAAGGGUGAAACUCAAAGGAAUUGACGGCUGAGAGUGCGAGNGACGACGAGGAGAGG
Molecule: ribosomal RNA, 588 nt
Filed under: uncultured bacterium
Lineage: Bacteria
Description: bacterial SSU rRNA
Rfam family: Bacterial small subunit ribosomal RNA
Source: RNAcentral